UAGAGUUGUAAAACUCCCAACCCAUGUGAACAUACCUCUGUUGCCUCGGUGGCCUACCCGGUAGUUACCCUGUAGCUACCCUGUAGUCCGCCGAAGGACCAUUAAACUCUUGUUUUUAUAUAUCUCUGAGAAAACUUUUAAAUAAGUCA
This 149-nucleotide unclassified non-coding RNA is filed under the name uncultured Fusidium. RNAcentral's name for it is "sequence contains ITS1". Lineage: Eukaryota; Fungi; Ascomycota; Sordariomycetes; Hypocreales; Nectriaceae. The record is from RNAcentral.